AUUCCAGGUCGUAUUGUACUGAAAAACAUCGUACGACACACGUACGAAAAGGAAAUUCGUAACUCGUGUUGAUUUAGUGCCCUUCGGUCAUGUUUAAUUUAUCGCCACUCGUUUCGAACUUCCUUUUUUAUGCACUUGUAUCGUAUGUCCUAUUUUGGUGUAAAUCUGGUCCGCCUCUAAAAUUCCUUCAUAAUAUAUUUUGGCCCCCAAAGAAAAAAGGUUCUGCACCACUGCUCUGUAUAGUAAGUUUUAUUUAUAUAUUCUUAAAACUCGUAAAAUGUGGAUUUUAAGUUUAUUAUGGAUAUCAAGUUUUGCAUUUGAAUGUUACAAAAUAUUUAGGGUCUGUUUCACAAUUUCCAAAUAAAUAAUCAACAAAUAAAUAAAUUAACUGCUAUAUAAAACUUCCCGUUAAAAACAGUUUGCGUUUCACAAACGUGAACUGUUUUUAAUGGGAAUAAAUUAUAAAUUUACCCCAGUAAAUUUAUGUACCAGUUUGCUUGCUUAUUGUAAGUUAGAGCUGGCAACAUCGUAAAAAUGUUUCGGUUUACGGAAUAUGUGAAUUUUUUCACUUUACAAAAUAAACUUUAAAUGUAUAUUCUAUUAUAUAACAAUUAUUAAUGAUACAUUUUUUUUUAUCGAGAACUUUUAUGUGGAUACAAUCAUAUUCUUUGAUGUGGAUCGAAACAACUGUCAAAAUGCGUUGCAUUGCAUUGUAGCUGGAAACAAAUUAUGAGACGCGACGCGUCCGCGGACGCAUGGCCACUGCUGCGAUGUAGAAUCUACAGUGGCGUCUACAUUGUAGAUAAGAUAAUGAAUAUACUCGGAAUUGUGCAAACUAUCGGACGUAACGUAAGCCAUGGACAUGGCCUUGAGCGUUUGGUUUCAGACAUAAAACCUGGCCGCCAGAUGUUUUAAGACUGCAAGUCGCGGUCGUCAGCCACGUCCGUAUGACGCGUCCCAUAAUUUGUUUCUAGCUUAAUGCAAAUGUCAAAGAAACUAGAAACUUAGAAAGUUUUAGCAACCGUUCGGUUGACUUUUAUUGGGCAUUUUUAGCGUGUGCGUGUUUCUUUUGAACUUCAGUUUGCCAAUGCGCUUGAAUCAGUGGCAAAGAGUAUUAUUAGUAUAUAUCAGUGGACUGGGCUGCGGUGGUAGAACGCUCGAGGCACGAUUGUCACAGGCUCGCGCAAUCACUACUUAACAUAUUAGUUGACAAAUUUAACACAUGUUUUCCUAUACUUACGUAAACAACCACAACAGCACAGGAGGGCUGAAGCCUCAGUGCAGCACCUGUUUUGACUCCCAGUGAGAAUGAGUGACAGUCUGCCAAAGACAGUAGUUACUUGCAGUUUGCACAAAUACCCUUCACAUGAUUGCAAUAAUGCAGAUGAAUCUAAGUGUAUUGGUAACUUCACCAUCCUGUGUAGCCGAAGAAGCACCUGUAUGUCCACCAAAAACCAGAGCACAUAAUAUAUAAAAGAACAAGUACAGAAGGCUCACAGUCAACAACCUGUCAACGGACUGCAUGUGACAUUGAGUUCUAUUGCGAAGCGAGAAGGUCAUCAAACUAUGGGCCGGGAACUCUUAGCCGCCGGAAUGUAUGAAAGAAAUGUGGAGUGAGCCACCCCCGACAAGAGUUAUUUUUUUAUAAUAAUCAGAUAGAACUGUCACAAAUAGAAGAGUUAAAAUUCACUGCAAUUGAUCAACCACAGAUUUUGUAUAAAAAAAAUGCCUAUGUGAUUAAUGUUGAGUGUAUUCUGAAUAUUUUAUGAAAUACCUAUAUUUUUGUUUUAUUUGUAUAAAUGAUUGCAUCUCUUCUAAAUAUACUGA
This 1827-nucleotide long non-coding RNA is filed under the name Leguminivora glycinivorella. Its description in RNAcentral is "uncharacterized LOC125229633". The record is from RNAcentral. Lineage: Eukaryota; Metazoa; Arthropoda; Insecta; Lepidoptera; Tortricidae.